Molecule: ribosomal RNA, 235 nt
Filed under: uncultured bacterium
Lineage: Bacteria
Description: partial 16S ribosomal RNA
Rfam family: Bacterial small subunit ribosomal RNA
Source: RNAcentral
UGAGCAAUCUGCCCUUCUCUUCGGAAUAAGCGUGGGAAACCGCGUCUAAUGCCGAAUACGACCUCCUUUCGCAUGAUCGGAGGUGGAAAGCUCCGGCGGAGAAGGAUGAGCUCGCGGCCUAUCAGCUAGUUGGUGUGGGUAACGCCCACAAGGCGACGACGGGUAGCCGGCCUGAGAGGGUGACCGGCCACACUGGGACUGAGACACGGCCCAGACUCCGUACGGGAGCAGCAGG